CUCGUAGGCGGUUCGUCGCGUCCGGUGUGAAAGUCCAUCGCUUAACGGUGGAUCCGCUCCGGGUACGGGCGGGCUUGAGUGCGGUAGGGGAGACUGGAAUUCCCGGUGUAACGGUGGAAUGUGUAGAUAUCGGGAAGAACACCAAUGGCGAAGGCAGGUCUCUGGGCCGUUACUGACGCUGAGGAGCGAAAGCGUGGGGAGCGAACA
RNAcentral lists this ribosomal RNA (207 nucleotides) under uncultured bacterium. Its description in RNAcentral is "partial 16S ribosomal RNA". It matches the Rfam family "Bacterial small subunit ribosomal RNA", at positions 568 to 774 of the family's 1533-position model. The record is from RNAcentral.